ACACAUGCAAGUCGAGGGGCAGCGCGGGAUAGCAAUAUUCUGGCGGCGACCGGCGGAAGGGUGCGUAACGCGUGAGCGACAUGCCCGUUGCCCGGGGACAACCGGUGGAAACGCCGACUAAUCCCCGAUGGGAUACGAUGCUGCAUGGCAUUGUAUUGAAAGUUACGGCGGCGACGGAUUGGCUCGCGUCCGAUUAGCUGGUUGGCGGGGUAACGGCCCACCAAGGCUGCGAUCGGUAGGGGUUCUGAGAGGAAGGCCCCCCACAAUGGGACUGAGACACGGCCCAUACUCCUACGGGAGGCAGCAGUGAGGAAUAUUGGUCAAUGGGCGGAAGCCUGAACCAGCCAUGCCGCGUGCGGGAAGGAGGCCCUAUGGGCUGUGAACCGCUUUUGCCUGGGGGCAAUAAGGGCGUCGCGCACGCCCGAUGAGAGUACCAGGCGAAUAAGCAUCGGCUAACUCCGUGCCAGCAGCCGCGGUAAUACGGGGGAUGCGAGCGUUAUCCGGAUUCAUUGGGUUUAAAGGGUGCGUAGGCUGUGCGUCAAGUCGGGGGUGAAAUUCCGGUGCUCAACACCGGGGCUGCCCUUGAUACUGUCGCGCUGGAGUGCGGAUGCCGCCGGAGGAAUGAGUGGUGUAGCGGUGAAAUGCUUAGAUAUCACUCAGAACACCGAUUGCGAAGGCAUCUGGCGAAUCCGUAACUGACGCUGAGGCACGAAAGCGUGGGGAUAGAACAGGAUUAGAUACCCUGGUAUUCCACGCCGUAAACGAUGAUGGCUAACCGCCGGCGACACACUGUCGGUGGCCAAGCGAAAGCGAUAAGCCAUCCACCUGGGGAGUACGUCGGCAACGAUGAAACUCAAAGGAAUUGACGGGGGCCCGCACAAGCGGAGGAACAUGUGGUUUAAUUCGAUGAUACGCGAGGAACCUUACCC
RNAcentral lists this ribosomal RNA (929 nucleotides) under uncultured bacterium. RNAcentral's name for it is "bacterial SSU rRNA". It matches the Rfam family "Bacterial small subunit ribosomal RNA", at positions 51 to 976 of the family's 1533-position model. The record is from RNAcentral.